This 253-nucleotide ribosomal RNA is filed under the name uncultured bacterium. Its description in RNAcentral is "partial 16S ribosomal RNA". It matches the Rfam family "Bacterial small subunit ribosomal RNA", at positions 524 to 776 of the family's 1533-position model. The record is from RNAcentral.
AACGUAGGGGGCCAGCGUUGCUCGGAAUUACUGGGCGUAAAGGGUUCGUAGGCGGUGCGGCAAGUCGGGAGUGAAAUCUCACGGCUUGACUGUGAGGCUGCUUCCGAAACUGCUGUGCUCGAGUGCGGGAGAGGCGAGUGGAAUUGCAGGUGUAGCGGUGAAAUGCGUAGAUAUCUGCAGGAACACCCGUGGCGAAGGCGGCUCGCUGGGCCGCAACUGACGCUGAGGAACGAAAGCUAGGGGAGCAAACAGG